CGCUUUACUCGGCCCGUACACCGUACGUCUUUCUUAACGUCGUUACGUGUUUGAACAUUUCGCCGUAAACGAAGUGACACUUGUAGAAUUGACCGAUACAAUUAACAGGAAGCCGCCUACGAGGAUAUUUGCUGUGGAAAACACUCACAUUUCUGUGGACUUGGAGCAGAGGAGUCCUAGCAAUUUUGGACGGGUGAUAAUAAUCGGGAGGUUGUAGGAUACCGAAACGUCCCUGUCGCAAGGUCGAUGCAAAUAGCUGCAGUUAAUUUUAUUAACAGAGAUCCGAAGGGGAUUUGAUCGAUAUACCAUCGCUUGACCCACAAUAAAUCAGCCGUGC
RNAcentral lists this unclassified non-coding RNA (337 nucleotides) under Bombus terrestris (buff-tailed bumblebee). RNAcentral describes it as "misc RNA ENSBTSG00005037554.1". The record is from RNAcentral. Lineage: Eukaryota; Metazoa; Arthropoda; Insecta; Hymenoptera; Apidae.